This 245-nucleotide ribosomal RNA is filed under the name uncultured bacterium. RNAcentral describes it as "partial 16S ribosomal RNA". It matches the Rfam family "Bacterial small subunit ribosomal RNA", at positions 524 to 767 of the family's 1533-position model. The record is from RNAcentral.
UACGUAGGGUGCAAGCGUUGUCCGGAAUUAUUGGGCGUAAAGAGCUCGUAGGCGGUUUGUCGCGUCUGCUGUGAAAACUGGAGGCUCAACCUCCAGCCUGCAGUGGGUACGGGCAGACUAGAGUGUGGUAGGGGAGAUUGGAAUUCCUGGUGUAGCGGUGGAAUGCGCAGAUAUCAGGAGGAACACCGGUGGCGAAGGCGGGUCUCUGGGCAGUGAACUGACGCUGAGGAGCGAAAGCGUGGGAG